Molecule: unclassified non-coding RNA, 1939 nt
Filed under: Portunus trituberculatus (swimming crab)
Lineage: Eukaryota; Metazoa; Arthropoda; Malacostraca; Decapoda; Portunidae
Description: organic cation transporter protein-like, transcript variant X1
Source: RNAcentral
AGUACCACCACCACCACCACCACCAGCUGGGCAGCAUGUUGAGCCGCAUGGACAAUCUGCUUAACCAUCUGGGGAACGGCAGGUGGUCUGUUCUGCACGUGAUCACUAUGAGCUUUAACUCCAUUUACUUACCAGGGUACAUGUUUGCCGGGGCCUUCCUUGCGCCUCGUCUUGACUUCUCGUGUCUUCCAACCAGCGCCACUCCAGUACCUCCUAACGCCUCUCUCUAUAACUCCUCCUCGUCCUCCUCUUCAUCCGUCACCGCCGCCGCUGCUGUUAACCUCUCCUACGUAGACAAGUGCCACUACAGGAUUGACACACCAGAGGGCGAAAUAAUUGAGAAAUGUGUCGAGUUUUCCUUCGAUUACUCCAUUUUUCCUCCACCAUCACAUCAGAGUUCAACCUGGCGUGUGACAGAGCUUACUUGCAAACUUUCUACCAGAGUCUGUACAUGAUUGGCAAUUUCUUCGGCUCUCCUUUCAGCGGGUUCAUGUCUGAUACCUACGGGAGGAAGAAAACGGUGACUCUUGGCUACGUGCUCUUCCUGCUCCUGGGCCUCGUGUGUGCGUGGUUGCCUUUCCUCUCCUUCAUUCUCGUGGCUCGGUUCUUGAUGGGCCUCAUUCAUCCUAUCAACUCCUAUACGUCCUUUGUGCUUGCGCAAGAAGUUUUAACACCCAAAGUCAGGAACUGGUUUGCUUUCGACUUGUACACAGUGUGGGCUGCAGGCACGAUGUUGUACGCCUUACUGGGUUACUUCAUAAGGGACUGGCGACUGCUACAAACUGCCUUCACCUUGCCUGGCCUCCUCGUGCUGCCUGUCAUGUGGUGGGUGGACGAGUCCCCGCGGUGGCUGAUCGUGAACGGGCGGUGGCGUGAAGCCCUGCAGGUGCUGACCAAGGUGUCCCGCUGGCAAGGCGUGGACCUUCCCCCGGAGGCUGAGAUGAAGGCAAUUCUGGAGGAGCAGGCCGGGGAGGUGACGGAUGGGGGGCGGCAUUCCUCGCUGGGGAAGAUUCUGAGGUCCCUUGUGGCGGAGAUCGUAGUGCUGUUCAGAACGCCACAGUUGAGAACCAUUACUCUUUGUGUGUUCCUCGACUUCCUCACGGUCGGAAUGAUGUACUUCGGCAUGUCCCUCAGCGGAGCAAACAUCAGUGACGACCCUUACCUGUACAUCACCCUCUGCGGUUUCAUGGAUGUACCGGCCUAUGUUUUCUCCGGCCGUAUCAUGAACCGCUUCGGCAGGAGGAUCACUCUCUCUGUCUGCUACUUCAUUGCCGCUGUGGUUCUGUUCGCUCUCUCUGUCACGCCCAGUGCACACAGCACCGUCGUAGUGUUGCUGGCUGUGGUGGGGAGGAUGACAAGCGCCGCAGGGUUCCAGGUGGUUUUUUUCUAUUCCAACGAGCUCUUCCCGACGGAGGUGCGCAGCCGGGGUGUGGGCGCCUCCUUCAUGAUGGCCUGCGCGGGGGGGAUCGUGUCACCCUUCAUCACAGACCUGGUGAGCGCCGUGUACCCGUGGGCGCCCUUCGUGGUGUUCGGGGUGGGCGCUUCGCUGGCCGGAGUGGGGACGCAACUGCUGCCGGAGACUCAAGGCCAGACCCUCCCUGACACCGUGCAGGAGCUGGAGGAGAGAUCGAGGAAACGGCGCGAGGGAGGUGGCGUCGCUGCAGCCGUCACUACACUGCCACAAGGCUUACAUUCACACCACAGCAGCAGCCUCAGUCUUGUAGUGUGAGAGGAGGCGCCAAGGCAGUGACUGAGUGAAGUCCUAUUCUCACACACUUCUACGCCUUACCUCCACUAUUUCAAAAGGUUCUUUGUUCCUCGCACCACACACAUUUGGAGGCGCAUUUUUAGCUCCACGUCUCGACUUCGCCUGCCUUCCUUCGUAUAACUCAUCCCUGCCCAACUCGGCCUUCUCCAACUCGGCUCCUACCAACUCGGC